UAGUAAUGGAACAUCUGGAGAUGUCACCUCCUACAUAGCUUUCGUGUGAUUGUAGUCAUUUAGCUAAAUUUGUGUUUCCCUACAAAAACCCUGAACCACUUCCCUUUGACGGACAGGUUAGACGUUAAGGUACUUGUCUGCCACUUCCCUGGUAGUUAGCAUCCUAACUGAAUUUCCUCUUCCUUUCCUCCAGAUUCUUGUCCCCUGGGUCAUUGGCUCCUCUUGUGUUGAAUGUCUGAUUUCAGGUUCAGUAACAAAUCUUGAGUUGAGAACCGGCAUGAUGAAGCCCUGUGUCAGCAAGUCCACUGUCUCUCAACCAUACAUAGUCUGUGCUCUGUGCCCUGGAGCCAUGAUGGUCUCAUAACUAUGUGGAGCCUCUCCACUGACUGUUGCCUGAGAUGUGCUGGCACUGGGCAGAUGGCAUUAACCAGAAAAGAACAGACCUGUUGUCUAUCCCCAUGCUCCCCAUCUGCGAUGUGAACUUGAAGCUAGAGGCAGAGCAUCCAUCAUAUUACAUGAAGUUGAAACAAGCCUGAGAAUGUAAGGUACAAGCAGAGCCUGACGGAAUUGCUGGCACUGAAACUCAGGAAUCAGACAAGUAAGAACUGCUCUCAAUCAACCCUCUCCAGAGUUAAAUAUCAUCAUCAGUGACAACAUUUAGCUCAGUGUUUUGUUCUCUGAGCUCGCCAUUGACCAGGCUGCCCCUUUUACGGUCCCAUCUUUCAAGCCACAUCGGGUGUGCCUGGCCAGUUUAUCUAAGAUUUUCUCUGUUCCCUAAUUGCUUCUUAGUUGAACCUUCAGGUCCUGUUUGCUUCUUUCAACCCAGUACAAUAGGAGUCAUCCAUUUUGUGCUGGUAAGAGGUUACCCUAAACCCAAGCCAGCUUUCCCCUGCUGGCCUGCACACCUCCUGACCAUCCCAGUCACUUGCUGUUCACCUGGCAACAGCAGAUAAACUUGAGGGUUGUCUCAGGAAAAGCCUAAAAGAGGCUGCACAUCUGUUUCUAAAGAAAUGGAAAUUGCCUGGUACACUCAGCACCAAUGUGAUGAGAAAGGUGUGUGCAACACGCAUCGGCCUUUCUGCUACAGCAGUAAAAUUAGCCUGUGGCUGGCUGAACGCGUCAUUUAAGUCCGGACUGCAAGAUGUUUCUGAUGUUGUAACUCAUUUUUCAGAAUAGACAUUUCACCUCUAGGGAAACAAGGUUGGUUGUAGAACUUGGCAGAGAAAUCUAUCCUCUCUUGGAGGACAAAGAUAAGGGACAGUAUAUUGUAUCAAUGAUCAGUGUUUGUAAAAUGGACUCCACAUGGUAUUUCGGAGUGUUCUGCCAGGGCAGCAGCUGUGCUACCUUGCUCUACUUCUUUGUAAGCCAGGUGGCCGCUGCCACAGCCCCGCAGGUACCCUUGUUCUUUGUUUACGGUCCCUUUAAGAGUUGUGAGCGAUUUAGCUGGUGAAGCUCCAAGUGCCCUCUGGACUCAUUGGCACAAUGUGGGAAUUUUCCAACUUGGACAAGAGACAGCCUGUUCCCUAGGGAAGGCUCUUCAAGGUAAUUGCUCUCUGAGAGGUUCCUUCCACUACCAUUGGCAACCUUCAGAGACCAAUCCUCCUUUUAGGAGGAGCUAACAAGCCGUAGAGACGGGUGCACACACU
Molecule: long non-coding RNA, 1646 nt
Organism: Ochotona princeps (American pika)
Lineage: Eukaryota; Metazoa; Chordata; Mammalia; Lagomorpha; Ochotonidae
Exons: 4
Source: RefSeq, a predicted model, not a curated record